Molecule: long non-coding RNA, 4892 nt
Filed under: Homo sapiens (human)
Lineage: Eukaryota; Metazoa; Chordata; Mammalia; Primates; Hominidae
Description: non-protein coding TUG1:24
Rfam family: Taurine upregulated gene 1 conserved region 4 (bases 1032-1212)
Source: RNAcentral
AUAAGAUGCUUUCCUCAGCAGAAAGGAGGGAAAAAAAACAACUGGAACUCAAAGCUUGAAAUUCUGUGGCAAAACAUGAGAUGUCCAGGAUUGGAGGUUGAAAAGAUUUCACUACAGUGUUCUGCAAUAGUUGGAGCAGAUAACUUUCAGUGUAGCCACAGCCAUGGACUCCAGAUUUCCAGAUUUUCAAGACCUGGACCUGGAACCCGAAAGAGCUUGUCACGAUGCGGCAGGAACACUGGAGGUAGAUUUUUUUUUAUUUUUGAAUUUUGGGACUGUUGACCUUGCUGUGAGAAAAGAGACAACGACUGAGCAAGCACUACCACCAGCACUGUUACUGGGAAUUAGAAGACCUGAGUUUCUGUCCAGACCCUCAGUGCAAACUGAGGAUGCUCCAUCCAAAGUGAAUUAUGAUAGCAGACUCCUUGAAAGCAGGGUCCUUGUUUAGUGCAUCUUUGCCCACAUACACCACAACAUAUCAAGAUGCAUUUAUUAGGAAGGAGGAGUUUAGAGAGCAGGCUAUCAGAAUAACCACUCACCUACAGACCUGGUACCUGGAUUUUUGCCCGAGAUGAUUCCUACCACCUUACUACUGACGAAGACACCCAUUCCAGUGGACCACUGUGACCCAGGAGGCAUUCAGCCAUCAUGAUGUGGCCUUUACCUCCACUCCUGUCUUGUUCUACCCAGAUUCAGCACAGCCCUUUAUAGUGAAGUCAGAGUCCUCAAGCCAAAUAGCUAAAGCUGUUUUAUCACAACAAAGGCCUAGUUUGUUCCAUGAGUGUGCAUUUCAUUUCUUCAGUUAAAGCCUUCAGAGACACACAAUAAAUUUGGACCAGGGGAUUUUUUAGUUAUUAAUGCUCUCUGAAGAAAGGCAACAUCUUUUUGAGAGCAGCAUUGGACCACACCCCACAAUCUCAAAUGAUUGAAAUUCAUGAACAUCUAGGAUCCCGUGAAGGUCACUGGACCCUGUUUUUUCUACUUCAAAUCCUGUAGUAGCCUACUGAAUGAGAAAACAUAUUCUGACCCAUUGGGAUCAAAUCAAAGGCACAGUGAACUCCUCAUAGCAUCUUCUUUGGAAUUACUCAGGAACCAGAACUUUUUACACAAAUGUAAGAAAUUCUACCAAGGAGUCCCCUUACCUAACAGCAUCUCACAAGGCUGCACCAGAUUCCAGAAAAGGCUUCUCUUGAUACAUCAAGGUAGAACCUCUAUGCAUUUUGUGACCGACUUAUUCUUAGAUCAUUGGUUUUCCAAAGGCUUUGUGGCCAUGAAGCCCUUUGAGUGAAAACUGUGCAGAAGCCCAGAGUAAAAGUGAAGCUGCUCUGGAUGAAGUAGUGAAGCAAGAGUAGGGGCCUGAAUCCUGCUACAACUAUCUUCCUUUACCACCGUGGUGACACCUAAGGGGACUUCCUUACAACACCUUGAACUCUUCCGAACACAGUUUGAAAACCACUGCCCCAGACAGCAAUAUGUUUGACCUGAAUGGCAUUCCAAUCUUUUCUGUACCUCCACUCAGCACAGUUCAUGUUCAGUAGAUGCUGAACAUUCUUAGAAAUACUGUGUGUGAACUUAGAAAAGUGCAAGAAGACAGGCAUGUCUUUGACCCCAGGAAUGAUCAUUUGCUGAAGAUGGUGUCAAGUGAACCUAGAUUAACAGCCCUCCACUCCAGAUGGAUAUCCAGUGAUUCCUAGAAUGGGAUAUAGCCAGAGAACAAUUCUAUGCACCCUACACUGACAGACUCCCUUAAGCAACACCAGAUGCUCUACUGGUACUUGAAGUACAUGACUUUGAAGUCUUGACCCUCCAUGAAUACCUGAAUUAUCAGCAAGCGGGUUUUGAAGCUGGUGCCUCAUUGAGGCCAUAUUAGAGCAACUUGUACAUUUGACCUCUUGUUAUCAGCCAUGGUACUCUACUUCGUGUGCAAGAGAUAACUAUGAAAGCCAAAUUCAAAUACUGGCAACAUUUCCUAAAGGGGCUCAAUAUCUAUCAUUCGUCUUCUUUUCCAAACUACACAUCACUGUAUGACUCAACCAGUAGCAGUUAUAUUGCCCCUUGGUUUUUAUUCAGUUUAACUACUGUUUCCAAGAUAAAUGAGCUAAUAAGCUUUAAAAAAAAAAAAAAAAAAGGCUGAAUUCUUUUUUCUUCAUCACUGGCAUAUCUGCCUAUUCUCCAGAAUUAUUAUGACUAUUCAGCUCACUUUAACAGUUGAACUUCAAGCGACAAUCUUUGAACACCCCUUCUCAUGUGAUUUAAAAUGAAACCAUUUGGAAAAGUUUCUUCUAGCCAGUAAUAGAUUUUUUUUUUAAUUGCUCUGCCUUGUGCCGAGAGAUGUUCUUUUAAGAUGAAUCUUUUGAUGUCUGAUACCACCAAAUAUAGGUGGUAGGGAGAGUUGGAGGCUGGCCCUUUGAGCAGGCCAUUAGCUUACUUGCUGGGCAUUUCCGAUAGCUUAUUGCCUACCUUUUUGCUGGAAACAAACUGAUUUGAAAAACAAAAUCUAUGAAGACUGCAGCUAAGGAUUUUAUCGGUAGACUUAAGAGCUUUUGUCCUUGUGGAUAUUUUAGUGGAACCACAUCAGUCUCAAUACUGUCAUUUUACACUGACUCAGAGCAGCUGACUUCAUUCCUUGCCAUGAUAUAUAUUUAAGGCAGGCAUUGUAACAGACAUAAAGACAACUUAUCUGUUUCAGCAGGAAGGAUUCAGUUUAUGAACUCUCAGACCAGAUCAUGUUGAACAAGGAGACUUUGAUGUGUGUCAUGAGAAAACUCAUUCUUUACUUCCCAGUCAAUUUAAAGGCCAGCUAUCCUGAGCUACUCGAAUGAAUGCACUGGUUAAACAUUGGAAAUAGUUUGUUUAUAUCCUUGUCUCUCUCUAGGCCAAUUGUGAUUACAUGACUCGACUCUACAUCUCGUCAAACAAGGCCUAGGUCUGGUUGCUGUAGACUGCUCGCCCUCAACAAAUAAAAUCUGGUUGACUAGCCUCCUUGUAUAUACAACUAUUAUUUGUUAAGAAGAAAUUAUCGUCAAUUUUCUACUACCUUCCAAUUGUCAGCUCUUUUUUUCCUCUCUGGUUUUUCCUAUACUUUACAGAAAAAGACAUUGAUCUAUACUGCCAUUCCCUCUAAUCCUGCCAUACUCAGUCAAAAGGAAUGACUUAAGAUGAAGAUGAUCAUCUGCUCGAGUCUAAAAUAUACAUUGUAUAUAAGAAUUGGUGAUUAGAAAAGCAAAAAACCUAAAACUUAAAUCUAGGAGUCUGUAUACUGUCUCCAUGUCUCCAUGCCUCAGAUCUCAUCUAAAUCUUUGAACAGCACCAUUCAACCAAUCUGAGGCCUUGACUUGCUUGUAAGAUGAUUCUCAGAGAUCGGCUGAGUUAAAAAAGAUGACGACUUGAUUACCAAAGAAAGUAGGGCCAACUUUGACAAAUCUGGCUCUGCUGACCCUGUCACUCCCAGAUGUAGCAUAGACUCCUAAACAGAACCUCAAGUCUGAUUGAGGAUAAGGCCUUCUCCUGAGCUGAAAGUUCUUUGGCAGAUGAGCAAGAAACUGAAAGCUGAUGUACCUGACUGGCUCUGUAAGAUCAGAAAACUGUAUCCAGAAUAAGCCCUAUGGAUUAACCCCUGAGUACCCAGAGUAAAAACUAAUUUACAGAACUUCCUUAUUGAUCUGCUGGUUCUUCCAGAUCAUAUUCUGGCUAUUGGUAUGGCUGGCCUUUCUGAAGGUACCCUGCUUGUCUAUUUUCCUGACUCAGCUCUUGCCUGCCUUUUUCACAUGUUGCUGCAAUUAGACUCACCGUGAGGACUACAGUCAAUUUCAGUCUAUCUUGUGCCCAAUACAACAAGGAUUUUUAAUAGUAACAACCCACACCUCACCCACUAGGACUCAAUGUUCACAACAGGAAGGACCAUUGCUGCAUACUCCUUGACCAGCAACUUUUUUGAAGAUAUUUUUAAGUGCAGAGUAGGCCUCUAUUCCUGUAUGUAAUUGUUCAUUUUCAGCACCUGGAACCUCAUCUAUCGGGUCUGGAAGGAAUACAGCAGUUCGAAAGCCGCGUCCAUUUCUCUCCUUCAGUAGUGCAGAAAUGAGUCCGAUUCACCAGUACACACAGAACUGUACCAGUUCAACCUAGCAAAAGAAGAAAAGUUUCCACUGUACUUAAAAUUUACAGCUGACUCAAAUUGCCUCACAGAAUUAUUUGAUGUAGAAGGCUAGUUGUCUUACUUCAGAUCAGCAGGACAGUUGGGCUCUCAGACUCAUGACCACUGAGUUUGCUUGUGUUGAAACUGUGGUUUCAUCCAACAUAUGCUAUUGGACAUGAUUAUUAUUCCAUUCAAAUGGAUUACAGACUUCUUGAGGACAGGACAAACUUAUCUCUCAUGGUGUUUUUUUAGAAUACUUUUAUAACCAAGGAAGAAACCAUGCCAGCUGUUACCAUUCAACUUCUUAAGCAGAGAUUAAGCUUUUUCAUAUCUGUUCUUAUCCUGGACAUCAGUAGUUUUUAAUUGCCCAGCAUCCGUUCCAUCUUGUAACAACUCCCUGAUGUUUCUUAAAACCACCUCUUCCUAUUUUCAGUCUGUGGUUUGGACAGUCUGACCCAACCUUGAGCUUUGUGGGUGAACAUGUAAUUCAGACCUCAUCAAUCAGCAAAUCCAUCUGAACUGUGGAGGAGAAGCUCUCUUUACUGAGGGUGCUUUAGCUUUGUAGGAUGAAAACCUCAAACUAACAGGGCCUACCAUGUAGAGAAUGAAGCCAGUGCAGGGGAAAGCAGAGCCAAAAUAUGGAGAGACUUGAAUCCUGAUGACAGCGUUUGUGCCCCUGGAUCCAACCGUGCCUGAAGCUAGAAUAUCCCCUGGACUUUUCAGUUAUGUGAACCAAUAAAUACCCUUUUUUGCUUAA